Molecule: long non-coding RNA, 1020 nt
Organism: Ailuropoda melanoleuca (giant panda)
Lineage: Eukaryota; Metazoa; Chordata; Mammalia; Carnivora; Ursidae
Exons: 3
Source: RefSeq, a predicted model, not a curated record
GUGUUUCUCAACGUACCUACAGUGUCUGAUGAUUCAAAUCCUUUUCUAUGGAAGUGAGCACAGUAAGAGCAGAGACACAAGAGACCUCCUUACCCUGUUGCAGAGGGCGAGUAACAGUUCAUCCAGGUGGAGAAGAGAAACCAUUCCAGGAAGAAGGAACUGUAUAUGCAAAGGCCCUGAGGCGUGACAGAGGACAGUGUAUUGAAGCAAUGGUCUUCUGUGAUCAGUAAAGAGAAAACCUCUAUACAAGAUAGUCAACAAUAAAACCAACCUGUUGAUAACAAAAAUUCUGGAUCACAAGAUGUAUUUAUCAACACUGAUAGCAAUGGCAGAUUGAAAGCAGAACUAAGGACUGUAGAGGGAAAAAGGUCUACUGAACAGCAGCAUUACAGGUAAAAUGCCCAGGGGCCAUUAGAAAGGCUCCUGAUGGAUAACUUGGGGCAGAGAGGGGGUCAGAAAUCUUUUUUUAAACAGGUGCUUUUAGUCUCUUAGUGCCUGGGACUCUAAUGCCUUUCUUAUUUCCCUUUUAUAACUCACAUUUCCUUUUUUUCCAGUUCUGGCUUUUAAAGAAGAUUCUGCAAUAUCUAAGUAGUUUUUGGUGAAUAUUUUAAUAGACUAUUUGUUAGUACCUUUAGUCAUAGCCUGUUUCAGGUCACUAAAACUGCCUUGUGAUUUCUGAAAACAUUUGCCCUGGUCUCAUGCCAUGUUAAGAGUCAGAGAGGGCUUUUUGAUUCUUAUUAUAAAUGAAGAAACUAGGGACAAGAAAGAGUGAUUUGUUCAAGGUCAGCCUGGUGAUUAUAAAGCUGACUUCCUGAAUCAUGGGUUACACUUUCCAUCCCACUCUGCUGCCCCCAACCCCAAACUGGAUUAAAGAACCUUGUUUUACGGAAGGAAUGUUCACCAAGUUUGUUUUUAAAAAAAAAACAAAACAAAACGAAAACAAAAAAAAUCCUUACCCCCUGAACAAAUGUGUAUCUAGGAAAAGAAAUUGGUAAUCUCAAAUUAUAUUCCUUACUGUCU